Molecule: ribosomal RNA, 305 nt
Filed under: uncultured bacterium
Lineage: Bacteria
Description: bacterial SSU rRNA
Rfam family: Bacterial small subunit ribosomal RNA
Source: RNAcentral
GGUUCCUACGGGGGGCAGCAGUGGGGAAUAUUGCGCAAUGGGCGAAAGCCUGACGCAGCGACGCCGCGUGAGGGAUGAAGGCUUUCGGGUUGUAAACUUCUUUUAAGAGGGAAGAGCAGAAGACGGUACCUCUUGAAUAAGCCACGGCUAACUACGUGCCAGCAGCCGCGGUAAUACGUAGGUGGCAAGCGUUGUCCGGAUUUACUGGGUGUAAAGGGCGUGCAGCCGGGAAGACAAGUCAGAUGUGAAAUCCCGCGGCUCAACCGCGGAACUGCAUUUGAAACUGUUUUUCUUGAGUACCGGAG